GGUUCAGGAUGAACGCUGACAGAAUGCUUAACACAUGCAAGUCUACUUGAUCCUCGGGUGAAGGUGGCGGACGGGUGAGUAACGCGUAAAGAACUUGCCUUACAGACUGGGACAACAUUUGGAAACGAAUGCUAAUACCGGAUAUUAUGAUUGGGUCGCAUGAUCUGGUUAUGAAAGCUAUAUGCGCUGUGAGAGAGCUUUGCGUCCCAUUAGUUAGUUGGUGAGGUAACGGCUCACCAAGACGAUGAUGGGUAGCCGGCCUGAGAGGGUGAACGGCCACAAGGGGACUGAGACACGGCCCUUACUCCUACGGGAGGCAGCAGUGGGGAAUAUUGGACAAUGGACCAAAAGUCUGAUCCAGCCAAUUCUGUGUGCACGAUGAAGUUUUUCGGAAUGUAAAGUGCUUUCAGUUGGGAAGAAGUCAGUGACGGUACCAACAGAAGAAGCGACGGCUAAAUACGUGCCAGCCGCCGC
This 474-nucleotide ribosomal RNA is filed under the name uncultured bacterium. Its description in RNAcentral is "bacterial SSU rRNA". It matches the Rfam family "Bacterial small subunit ribosomal RNA", at positions 21 to 518 of the family's 1533-position model. The record is from RNAcentral.